GACGAACGCUGGCGGCGUGCCUAAUACAUGCAAGUUGAGCGAUGAAGAUUGGUGCUUGCACCAAUUUGAAGAGCAGCGAACGGGUGAGUAACGCGUGGGGAAUCUGCCUUUGAGCGGGGGACAACAUUUGGAAACGAAUGCUAAUACCGCAUAACAACUUUAAACAUAAGUUUUAAGUUUGAAAGAUGCAGUUGCAUCACUCAAAGAUGAUCCCGCGUUGUAUUAGCUAGUUGGUGAGGUAAAGGCUCACCAAGGCGAUGAUACAUAGCCGACCUGAGAGGGGGAUCGGCCACAAUGGGACUGAGAAAAGGCCCAAACUCCUAAGGGAGGCAGCAGUAGGGAAUCUUCGGCAAUAGACGAAAGUCUGAACGAGCAACGCCGCGGGAGUGAAGAAGGUUUUCGGAUCGUAAAACUCUGUUGGUAGAGAAGAAAGUUGGUGAGAGUGGAAAGCUCAUCAAGUGACGGUAACUACCCAGAAAGGGACGGCUAACUACGUG
RNAcentral lists this ribosomal RNA (497 nucleotides) under uncultured bacterium. RNAcentral's name for it is "partial 16S ribosomal RNA". It matches the Rfam family "Bacterial small subunit ribosomal RNA", at positions 28 to 507 of the family's 1533-position model. The record is from RNAcentral.